This 255-nucleotide non-coding RNA is filed under the name Anaerobacillus alkalilacustris. Its description in RNAcentral is "T-box sequence". It matches the Rfam family "T-box leader". Rfam says of the family: Uncharged tRNA acts as the effector for transcription antitermination of genes in the T-box leader family. T-boxes are found upstream of many aminoacyl-tRNA synthetase genes and some amino acid biosynthetic genes usually in Gram-positive bacteria. The anticodon of a specific tRNA base pairs to a specifier sequence within the T-box motif, and the NCCA acceptor tail of the tRNA base pairs to a conserved bulge in the T-box antiterminator hairpin. The record is from RNAcentral. Lineage: Bacteria; Bacillati; Bacillota; Bacilli; Caryophanales; Bacillaceae.
UGCUUUGCGAUGAUGAAGAAUAGUAUAUAUUGUUAAACUCUUAGAGAGUCUGUGAUGGUGGGAAACAGAUAGUAGCGCAAUAUAGAAUGGGCUUUUGAGCAACCGAACCGAACCAAUAAUGAUUGUAAGUAGGCCUCGGCGUUUAGUCCUUUACGUUAUCAAGGACUUCGUAUCGCUUCAACAGCUGUACGGUUUAAAGUGAUUCUAACUAAGUUAGAAUAAUUAGGGUGGUACCGCGGUCCAUUCGUCCCUAUC